UGAAGGAAUCAUCUGAGGUCUAAGUGUUGACUUUCAGUCCUCAUACUUCCACUGACAAACAAUGCAGCCUUGGGUGACACAUGAAACUUUAUGUUCACAACCUAUUUCUUUAACUGUGUUGAUGUUCAUGAAGUGAGAAAGCAAUGCCUCACAUUUAUUAAAAAGUGAAUGAUUUUCCUUCUCUAGCCUUUUGGUAAAAAGGAUGCAUUUCACUGCUCAUUUAACAUAUGCAGCAUCUUUUAUUUGUGUUUUGCACUGAAGAGAAGUGAAUAUUUAAAACAUUAUUAUUUAACAUAUCGACACCACUAAUUCAUCAAAGUCCAGUUAGCUUUGUGGCUAUGUUAAUCAUAAAAGUAGAUGGGAUGAACACUUUACUUUUUAAUUUUGAU
This is a long non-coding RNA of Phyllostomus discolor (pale spear-nosed bat), 389 nucleotides long. RefSeq lists it as uncharacterized. Lineage: Eukaryota; Metazoa; Chordata; Mammalia; Chiroptera; Phyllostomidae. The record is from RefSeq and is a predicted model, not a curated record. The transcript is spliced from 3 exons.